AUGAAGGUUAGGAGCAUGAUUGCCAACAUCCACCCAAGUAUUUUAAACCACAUCAGUUAAAGUAUGACAAAAUAACCAAAAUUUUUUAAACCUAAAAGAGGGAGGACCUCUUGUGGAUUGAUUGGACAUUAAGAUAGAUAGCGAAUAAUGAUCAAAAGCAAAAUGACUCAAACAAGUAACAAUAGAUUCAGAAUAUAAAUUUAAUCAAGUAGUUGAAGUAAAAGCCCUAUCAAUCCUUUUCCAAACUCUAACUUAACCAAAUUGAUUAUUACACCAUGUAUACCGAGGACC
RNAcentral lists this long non-coding RNA (291 nucleotides) under Elaeis guineensis (African oil palm). RNAcentral describes it as "long non-coding RNA (EGUI_LNC025439)". Lineage: Eukaryota; Viridiplantae; Streptophyta; Magnoliopsida; Arecales; Arecaceae. The record is from RNAcentral.